Long non-coding RNA from Ailuropoda melanoleuca (giant panda), 770 nucleotides. RefSeq lists it as uncharacterized. The transcript has 3 exons. Lineage: Eukaryota; Metazoa; Chordata; Mammalia; Carnivora; Ursidae. The record is from RefSeq and is a predicted model, not a curated record.
GCCCUGGGAAGGCGAGGAGCCCAACAGGGCAGAUCAAGGUUCAAUGCUCAGAACUGAAGAGGGGAGAGGGGGCCCGCCUGAAUGAAGCUGUGCCUCCACCCUGCCUGGAUCCCUGCUCUGCACUGAGGCAAUGCAGCUCGCCCUGGGUAAGCUCCCCUCUUUGAGAGACUGGAGGACCGCCCCAUUUCUCCUGGGACCUGGACCAUGAAGACACAUGAAAUCCUCUCCCGUCUCCCUCAAAGACAGCUGUGUCUGUUCCCCGGCGCGCACGUUGCUAGUGUGGAGCUGAGCGCCCGGACAGCUGGUCGACUGACCCACAGACAGCUGAUGGCCCCCUUCCCCUCGGGACGCAGCUAGGUCUUCAAAAUCCGGCAAGUAUCUCACCCCAACAGCACACCUCCAUUCAGACCAGCCACGGGGCACGUGCCCAGCAGCCCCAUGACAGCGGCCACCGCCCCAGGCAACAGAGCGCGGCAAUGUCCGGCUAAUGAGCUACCCUACGGCUUCCAGAGCAUCUCCUUUCUUCUCUGACAACUUCCUAGACACUCGCUCUGCUCCUUCUGAUGACCAGGACUUACUAUCUCAUCUCUAAGUCCUUCUUUUUCCCAUCCUGCUGGCCUCCUACCUGGCUCUUUCUGGCAUGCUAUUAUAGCUCCUCUCCUUGAGAAGCUGGAGAAGUUCCAGAAGCCUACCCACAGCCCAAGGCCUUAACAAAGGAGGAGCUUAGGAGGCUGUGAGGAAGGAGCAGAAGCCGCCCCGUCCCUGCCUCU